UGGUGUUAGUUUUGUUUCUCUGUUUUACAGAAGUGACUCCUUGUGAGACAUCUUGAGAUUGAGGAAAAGUCCUCAGCCAAUCAUCUUCAAGUAUCUUUAACCAGAAGAUUCUAGUGUAUUACCUCACAGCUUCCAGUAGAACAUUUAUAUGACAGUAAUUAUGACUACAGAACAGUACUGGAACCAGACAUGUCUUACUGAUGUAUGCACAGUUAAGUUUCAAACCCAGGACAAGCUGCUGAGGUACCUACCUAAUACAUCAAAGCAGGCCUGGCCUCCAGAUUCUCCCAGCAUCCCUCAGUCCAAUUACAGGAUUACAUCUGCGUGCGUAAGAAGAGAAAUGGAUCGUUUUCUGUGCAUUCUUCCACAAGCAGUGAUGGGUGCCAGAUGUCACUAGUUCGUGAGAAUGCUUCUACACCCUCUGGGAGUCCCUUCACCCUGUCUACACUACUAAUAACAAUCAGUGUGCUAUGCAUUUCUCCUUAA
Molecule: long non-coding RNA, 486 nt
Organism: Rattus norvegicus (Norway rat)
Lineage: Eukaryota; Metazoa; Chordata; Mammalia; Rodentia; Muridae
Source: RefSeq, a predicted model, not a curated record